Molecule: long non-coding RNA, 1563 nt
Organism: Capsicum annuum
Lineage: Eukaryota; Viridiplantae; Streptophyta; Magnoliopsida; Solanales; Solanaceae
Exons: 2
Source: RefSeq, a predicted model, not a curated record
CUUACUUAUUACUACAAUAAUUGAUAGGAAAAUGGACUUGUUGCAAAUACAACAAUAACAACAUAUUCAGUGUACUCUCACAAAGUGGGGUCUGAAGGGGGUAAAGUGUACGCAGUUUAUACCUUUACCUCAUAUGAAGUGAAGAGUUUGUUUUCAAUAGACUCCCGACUCAGAAAAGUUACAGAUAUAUUGAUAAUUAUAUUAAUUAACUUAUAACAUGUUUGAUCAAGUUUGUAAAAAGAUCAAGAAUGCUUAUGUCUUAACAUGAAAACAUUACAUCUUUUAGAGAAUAAUGAUAGUCUGCUAAGCUUUUGUGAAGAAAUAAAAGUAGUGAAGUAGUAGUAGUAGAAGUUGCUUUAUACCUCUUAAUUAAGAGCGAAAAAGGUAAUUUCUCCAAACAAGAAGCGCUUUUGAUUAUUUUUUUUAAGGUUAACUCCAUGUAAAAAAUUCAUAUAUAAAAGAUUCAUAAUUUUUUAAGGAUAAGAUUACUAUAUAAAAAAUUCAUAAUUUAACACUUAAAAGUUUCUUUUUUUUUUCUUUCAAGAUAUUGAUCAAACUCAAGCUAGUUUUUUUUUUUGGUUAACAAACUCAAACUAAUUAGUACUCUGUCAAUGUACCUUUUCAGAAAAACACUUCCUAUAAAAAUUAAAAGACUUCCUAAAAUAAACUACUUUCAAUGCCUUGGCCAAAUAAUCAGUUAUGCUCUUAGUUUCAAGGAAUGUCAUUUUAGAAAGGACAUCAUAUUCUAUUUCAAAUCUAUGCAAAAGUAGAUUAUGAGCAUUGUUGUUUCUAGUUAUAAGCAUUCUACUUUGACCAAGUACACAGAGUCGGCAACAUUCUCCUAAUUGGUAAAUGUUGACCAGAAAAUAACAGCACAAAAUCCUCUCUUUUUCUCAUACAAAUUAUUCUUAUUCACACUUGUAUGUCCUAUAAAUAUACAUGAUUUCACCAAAGUAUCAGACACUCAAGAAAUUACUUAAUUAAAAGCAAUUAUUUUGAGCUCAUUCCUGCAAUUAAGUUUUUCAAUUAAUCAUGGCCAAGGGUAGCAACAAUUCAAUCAACUGCUACUUCAACGUAGCCUUAGUCCUCACUUUUCUUCUCAUUCUGACACCAUCUAUGGGAAGAGUUUUCAUAUCUAAUAGCGAGGCAUCUCAGGCCAUUCCAACUUGUACGACAAUUUAUAACGUAGAUACUGGUGACACUUGCAACAAUAUUAUCAAGUUGUUCGAUCUGAGAGCAAAGGACUUCAGUUCUUUAAAUCCAAACCUUAACUGUGACGAUCUUUUCGUGGGUGAAUAUGUCUGUCUCAAUGGCACCUUAUCUGCUUGAAUCCAAGUCAUGAUGGCCAUGCAUCAAUAUAUUGUACUACAUUAAUUAUAAGUGCAUGCACUCUAGUCUUGGAUGCCAAAUUAAAUCUCUUAAUUCGAGUUAUGAGAUCUACUACUAUAUAUUUGGAUCACUUUAACUAUCCAAUAUGUUAGACCAAGAAAUUUACUUGGUUAUGUUGUAUUAUCAGUUAUCAAGUGAUAUUGUUUGUCUUUUAUUGAAGUUAUAUGUUGGUUA